This is a small nuclear RNA of Gorilla gorilla gorilla (western lowland gorilla), 108 nucleotides long. Lineage: Eukaryota; Metazoa; Chordata; Mammalia; Primates; Hominidae. The record is from Ensembl.
GUGUUCAGUUAGACAGCACAUAUACUAAAAUUGGAACAAUACAGAGAAGAUCAGCAUUUGCCCCUGAGCAAAGAUGACAGGAAAAUUCAUGAAGCAGUCCACAAAUUU